This is a non-coding RNA of Kogia breviceps (pygmy sperm whale), 2461 nucleotides long. Lineage: Eukaryota; Metazoa; Chordata; Mammalia; Artiodactyla; Physeteridae. The record is from RefSeq and is a predicted model, not a curated record.
GGAUACCUGAGUGCCCUUCCCUGCGGGGACGGCGGAGGACGCAGACACAGGCGGUGGCUGGGAGAGCCGGCAGAUGAAGACUGGAAGAGUCGGCAAGACUCGGCCUGGGCUGCACAGCCAGUUAGUGGCAGAGCUGGGACUGAAGUCCAGGUCUCGCCUUGUCCAUGUUAUUUUCCACCAUCUGAUACAUCAGAACACGGACGGAGGGUCACUAUGUUAUGAUUCUGGCCCAGUUGCCGGGCACGCAUACGUUAUUAACCAUCUACCAUGUGCCAGGUCCAACCCAACGAUGUCUCCAAACGGAGUGUCGGGGUUGAAUAUGGCCUGCAACACUGCCUGAUCAUUUGGAGUCCCCAUGGUGCUCAGCUCCAAACUCCAAAAAGACUGGGAGGAAUUCAUUAGAAGCCAACGCUUGACCACCCGUGGAUGAAGAAGGGGGAUACGUAUGAAGUAAAGGAACUAUUCCUUUGUCCUCUCGACCCCUUCCUCAUAUCCAGAGUUCAUUAGGUCCUGAAUAUACAUCACUGAUGAAUAAGGGAAGAAAAUAUGGUUAAGAGAGACAGUGUAGAGCGGGGCCUGAAGGAAGGCGGUGGGGAGUGAUUUCAUGAUUCCACCUUAAAAGGAAGGACUGCGGAAGGGACUUUGUAAUCAGGUCACAGGCCACGCCCCUCCCAUUUGUCCACCUCAGCCAAAGCCAAAAUAAAGUUCAACCAUGUGCAGCAAUAAACUUGACAUGUUUAUUAAUUAAACUAUCACUUAAAUAAAAAAAAGUGCAUAGAAAAUAAACAUGUUUAAAAACUCCUUUUUUUUUACAACUAUGUACACUUUUUACUUUUACAUUCAGUCUUUCGUAGACAGCUUUCAGCAUUAUUAUUUUUUGAACUAUUAAAAGUAUUUUCCUUCAUCCCUGUCACAGGGAGUUAACACUGAUGGACUUUAGACACAUUUUUUUCCUUUUUUUUUCUCUUUUUCUCUAACCAGAAGCUUGGAAGAACACAAGGAAAAAAAAAACGAAAGAUCUGUUACACAUGAUAAAGUUGUCAAGAAAUGUCUUAUUUCUAGAAAAGAAGCUUGUCAUCUGUUGAGCUUUUGAAACAAUUAUUCAACUACCUGUAUUUACUAAAGAGACUGUUAAAAGUUCAAUAAAAGAAACACCACAAGUCUAUUUUCUUGGUUGAAAGACAGAACUAGAGUACCUCGGAACAAGAUACCAGGAAAGCACAGAACACAAUUUUCCCCUAAAUGCAGGUGGUAACCCCAACAUUCAUAACCAAAAAUAGAGAAACAAGGAGGACAGGUACUGACUGGCAACAUUCACAGGCAGAAAAAAUCCAGGUGACACCAUUUCUGCAUUUCUCUCUGAUCCCAGGAAUGGACUGUCCUGCCAUCCCCUUACGAUGGGUUCCCCCCGCAUUUGGGGGGAUCAGAGGAGCGCCAGACUGACAUUUUCCUGCCACUACUAGCAACUGUAACACAAUCCUUAUCUAUAGUGUUAAGAGAAUUAAAAGCCAUGGACUGAACUAGGCUUUGUUACAUGGUGCAUUACUAUAUUAGUUCCUAUAUAUAUCAUAUUUAUAUUUAUUUGAAAACCAAAACAAAAAAGUUGCAAGUUUUCAGAGUGUGAGACUUGACUGGUAUUCAUGAUUCGGCACAAAACCAUCUGCUAGAUAACCUUGUAUUGCUUUAAAAUGAAGGAAAUGAAACAUAAAAUUACACCCAGCCCUUUGCAAUGACCCGCUUUUCCUUAAAAAAAAAAAAAAAAAAAACCAAAAAAACCACAACUUGAUUUCUAUUUUAAAAAAUCCCAAAUCAAACUUAACAUCUGACAAGGUUUUGACCUUUAGUAUUUUCAGAUAUUUGAUUGAAUGACAGUCCUUUAGAAAGAUACAUUCAUUAAAAGGUUUUUUUUUUUGUUGUUUUUUUGUUGUUGCUUUUUUUUUUUUUUUUUUUUUUUUUUUUUUUUAAAUCAAGGGAGCUGCAUGGUGCUCACGGCAUUGGCCAGGGGUUUGACAGAGGCAAGCGGGGUGGUGGAGUGGAUCCCGGCAAAGGAGUCUGGUUGAAAACUUAUAUGUAGCUGCCAGGGCUUCCCCCUUGAUUCUUGUCAUUGGUCUAAAAACAGGAGGGGCCGGGCUGGAGGUGGCGGAUGGUAAUGGAGGGAGCCAAGGGACCAAGUUCCGGCCAAAGGGUCAGCGCCAUGCAGCUAUUCUGGUUACACAGUUGUCACUGGCCACCAGGAAAUGCAGCCACAACAGGUUCUAGCAGCAAAGCUGUGAGCUGGCUCUGUCACUGAGAACUGACCAGGUUUGCAGCUGUCACUCCUUAGGGAUUUGGGAUGCCCCUUAGGGGAUUCUUGGGAAUGACCCACCACAGUUCCUCAGUCUGCACUUUUGUGCGGAGAUUCCCUUGGUCACUUUCAAAACAAACUCGGAGGUGUUUUGGAGAUAGCUAUGCCAUUUUUUUU